This 76-nucleotide small RNA is filed under the name Flavobacterium sp. 245. Its description in RNAcentral is "Flavo-1 RNA". It matches the Rfam family "Flavo-1 RNA". Lineage: Bacteria; Pseudomonadati; Bacteroidota; Flavobacteriia; Flavobacteriales; Flavobacteriaceae. The record is from RNAcentral.
CCCUAGCCCUGAUGGGAGCGGCAUCCUUUUGUGCCGGGGUUCGGCACAAAAGAUACAGCGGACAGCAGGAAUAUGC